Molecule: non-coding RNA, 872 nt
Organism: Archocentrus centrarchus (flier cichlid)
Lineage: Eukaryota; Metazoa; Chordata; Actinopteri; Cichliformes; Cichlidae
Source: the annotation of a RefSeq genome assembly
AUGAUGAUGUCACUGACUCUGCUGCUGGCCACCCUGGGGCUCCUCGUUCAGGGUUCAUCAGGACAAAACAUCCUGACUCAGUCUGCUGCAGCUCGGCCUGUUGCUGCAGGACAGACCGUCUCCAUCACAUGUACAGCUGAUUUAGAUCUUUACAGUGAAUACUAUAAUAAAACCCUUCUCUCCUGGUACCUUCAGAAACCUGGAGAAACUCCUGAGCUCCUGAUUUAUCACGCUACAGUCCGUCACUCUGGAGUUUCAGAUCGCUUUAGUGGAAGUGGGUCUGGGACCAACUUCACUCUGACCAUCAGUGGAGUCCAGGCUGGAGAUGCAGGAGUUUAUUACUGUCAGAGUGUCCACUGGUGGAACACACUGUGGUACACGUUCGGUGCAGGAACCAGGCUGGAUGUUGGAAGUGAUGCCCCUCCCACCCUGACGGUGCUGCCCCCCUCCAGAGAGGAGCUGCAGCAGGGGAAGGCCACGCUCAUGUGCCUGGCCAACAAGGGCUUCCCCUCAGACUGGAGUCUGUCCUGGAAGGUGGACGGCAGCAGCAGCAGCAGCAGCAGCAGCAGCUGGGAGGAGAGCAGGAGCCCCGGGGUGCUGCAGAAGGACGGCCUCUACAGCUGGAGCAGCACCCUGAGGCUCCCUGCAGACCAGUGGGAGAAGGUGGGCUCUGUGACCUGUGAGGCCACCCAGGGCUCCCAGGCUCCAGUCUCACACACACUGAGGAGAGACCAGUGUUCCCAGUCCUGAGCUGACUCUGCUACUGGUUUCCCUCUGCCACUGCUCUCUCUCUGCAGGUGUCUCUGUCAUCAUCUCAUCUUUGUUUUGGAAUGUUCAUCAUUUCACUGUUUGACACAAUAAAGAUUCAUUCA